Molecule: long non-coding RNA, 567 nt
Filed under: Pan troglodytes (chimpanzee)
Lineage: Eukaryota; Metazoa; Chordata; Mammalia; Primates; Hominidae
Description: long non-coding RNA NONPTRT016041
Source: RNAcentral
ACAUUCGCUGCUUAAUAAAUAUUUGUUGCCUGAGAUGCGUGCUGCUGGCAUGACCAAAAUGUGAGACGUUAGCGACAUCUGCUGGGGAUAUGGUGAUGGUGUGCAGAAUUUAAGUCAGAAAUGCAUGUUUUUGAAGGGCUGAGUUAAAUCAAAUGCCACAAUGGGGCACUGUUGGAAGCUUACGUCUACAGUGAUGAGGCCAUGGCUUUGCAGCUCUUCCUUACCAGGAUGUGGUCCAGUGGGUUAUUGUUCUCCUACAAUAUAAUGCAGCCUUGUUUUUUUUAAAAUACAGAAAUCAAGAAGAUGGAAAAGGAGCUGAACGGGGGAAAGCUGAGGUUUGCACAGAGCCAGUCCAGGGAGUGUGGUUCCGGAACGGGUGGAGCUUCUGGUGUAGUGGAUGUGGACUUUCUGGCCUGGAUCUCCUCUCUCCUCCUCACGUAAGUAACUCUUCUUCAUGCCCCAGGUCUCAGCACCCCCAGGAAACCUGCACUGGCCCCUCUAGCCUACACCAGAUUCCCCCCAACCAAGCACCCUCGUAACACCUGGGUUUACCCCUCUCCAACCAAG